Molecule: non-coding RNA, 120 nt
Organism: Cicer arietinum (chickpea)
Lineage: Eukaryota; Viridiplantae; Streptophyta; Magnoliopsida; Fabales; Fabaceae
Source: Rfam
AAAGUGGAAUGCAGCCAAGGGUGAUUUGCCGGCACUUAUACAGUAAUUAAUUGACCGUAUACAUAUAUGUACAUUGAUGCAUAGUGUCGACAAGUUUCUCUUGGCUAUAUUUCGCUUUCU